Molecule: long non-coding RNA, 456 nt
Filed under: Homo sapiens (human)
Lineage: Eukaryota; Metazoa; Chordata; Mammalia; Primates; Hominidae
Description: HSALNT0352248
Source: RNAcentral
CGAGGGGAAAGUCUCCGGAUGCCAAGAGUCACAAAGGGCCGAACAGGGAUCAAGAUGAACACACUGCAGACGAGGACACGAGCCCCACAGGAGCUCUUUGUCCCGCCGGAGACCAGCGGACCCACGUCAGAGAAGAUGCUUGUAUCUUUUCACGGCUCUUCUCUGAGAAAUGAAGCCACACCACAAUACGGUCUGGAAGAGGAAGCCGGGAAUGGGAGAUGGCAACAGUCCCUGUCACUGGAAUGCUGGCCUCUCUGGACAAGCCACCCUUUUGGAACCCCAUCCCUUAUGACCCUGGCAGUGGAACGGUGAUAUAUCCCGCCUGGCCGCCGGCGUCUGCCCUGUCCUCCCUCCUGCUCUGCCUCACCUGUUUCUCAAGUGCCUCAAUGCCUCUCGCUGACGCCCAAUGUCUUCAACAAAGAUGACUUCCCAGUCCGUCAGGGAGACAUUUCUUCG